Nycticebus coucang (slow loris) is the source of this 439-nucleotide long non-coding RNA. RefSeq lists it as uncharacterized. Lineage: Eukaryota; Metazoa; Chordata; Mammalia; Primates; Lorisidae. The record is from RefSeq and is a predicted model, not a curated record. The transcript has 4 exons.
CAGGAAAUGAAUGAAAGUUGGGCAUCAGAGACUAAGUACAUCACAGCAUUCUUCAGGCAGCAUUCUCCAUCUGACGCUGCCAUGAGCCACAGGCUCCUCUGCUGUGUGGUCCUUUGUCUUCUGAGAGCAGGCCUCAAGGAUGCUUCACUCACACAGUUCCCAAGACACAGGAUCAUUGGGGUGGGAAAGGAAUUCACUCUACAAUGUUCCCAGAAUCUGAAUCACUUUGCCAUGUUCUGAUAUCAACAAGACCCAGGAUUUGGACUGCGGCUGCUCUAUUACUCACCUGGUACUGAAAGCAUUGAAGAAGGAGAUGUCUCUGAAGGGUAUCGUGUGUCUCAAAAAAAGAUAGAAUAUUUUCCCCUGACCCUGGAGUCUGCCAGCGCCAACCAGACAUCUGUGUAUUUCUGUGCCAGCAGUUCUGGGGUAGGGUGGAGAG